This is a long non-coding RNA of Paramormyrops kingsleyae, 2525 nucleotides long. RefSeq lists it as uncharacterized. The record is from RefSeq and is a predicted model, not a curated record. Lineage: Eukaryota; Metazoa; Chordata; Actinopteri; Osteoglossiformes; Mormyridae.
UGGAGAAAUGACCCUGAAAAAACAGACUUAUGCAAAAAGUACUCUUUUUGUGCUUUUCAAUGAGGUAUAGUUGAGCAAUGCAGCUGAAAUAGUACCGACGGUGUAGAAAAGGAAUACAAUCACAAUGGUAAAACAAACAUUUUUGACUUCUGAAAAGUAUGUGUAAUUCACGUGCCAAAUUUCAUCAAAAUCAUAAACUGUGAUGCAAAGGUCAUUAAUUGAAUUAAAAUGGAAUGCCCUUUACUCCAUAACAAUUAUCCUUAAUACUAAUGGAAUGGAAACUGGCUCAAAAUAUCUACAUUAACUGAAAACAAAAUGGCUUCCUUUGAAAUUAUAUGAAACAUAGGCAGGCCAACUCUACAGUUUGAUGCAAAUAAUGGCAGAAACAAAAAUAAUGGCAUUGAGAAGAACGUCUUAGAUGACCAGUCUGCUAUAAAGUCAUUUAAUACAGUAACAGGAGUCUUUUUAAUAGAAAUCAGGAUAUACACAAAAAAAAGAAUCACAAAUUUAACAUGUCCAGCAGGCCAAGACUGAGUUUCUUUGGAAAUCUACCAGAAUUUCUCCUUCCUUGCAUUUACUGUACCAAGACUGCAGGUAACAACAAGUUAGAUUCAUUAUCUGGAGCAACAAGCAUGCUUUUGUUCAGAAGACAACAAUGCAAAAACCAUUUAAAACAAAGAAAAGCCAUAGGUCUGUCUGUCUGCCUUAUGGUGUCCUUAGUGGGAAGUUGAUAUAGGGAAGUGAAUUGAUCCAAAAAUAAAUUGUGAGAAACAGGAAUUGUACAGGAGACAAAAGCCCCUGUAGUUCAGCAGACAGUGUACCUUCAAGGUUAAUGAAUACAGUCGCCUGACUGCGGCCUACAUGCAUGUUCACAUCAUGGAGAGUUACCAGGAGCAACGUCUAAAUUAAGUUUCACUACUGAGGUUAAUUCACAAUUAUGGCAAUCCAUUUAAAACAAUGACAUACACACACGUAAGGCUCACAGAAAGUCUUGGGACACUUGGUUAAUUCUGUAAAAAUGUUGCAAAUUUAUUGAUUACAUAAUAAAACUCCAUUGAGUUAAGUGUCAUAAUUGUUUUGACUGACUCAUUCAGUUCUCUUCUGGUCAUUUUACCAUUGAUUGCAAUUGUAGCUAUUGGCCCCCAAAGGGAUACUAAAGACAAAUGUUUGGUGUUUUAUGUUAUUGCAAAGGUGUGACUAAUUAAAAAGCAACCAAUAGGACUGCUUGUCAAUGAACCUUUUAACUCAGAACAGCCCUUUUAAAACUAGAUUUUUGGUAUCAAUUUAUUACUAAUUGAAAUGCACGUUUUACUUAAAACGACUAGUUGUUUCUAAUGUGAUGUAUAUUUUUGUUAAAAAGAUAAAUAAAAGUAAUGAUUUUUGUUAGAACAGCAAUAAAUUCACAAUAAAUAAAUAACCAAGCAUUCUAAGACGUUCAGUGAGCACUGUAUUCUUCCAUCUUGCAGCCACAGUCCUGGACAGGGUCAUCAGGCAGAGACACUCUUCAUGAACGCAUACUGUCCAAUCAAAUGAGAGAGGCGGAGCCUCUCUACACCUGGUGCCCACCAUUAAUAUGCCUAGUAGCCCAUCCAUAGUAUCAUUCACUGGUGCCACAAUACAAAUGGCUGACACAUGCAGUGUGCCAGCUGGGCUACAGAAACACCGGAUUUCCAUUGGUCACACACCCAUCAUUUAUUAUCUCAAUCUGCUUCUCAGCAUCCGAAACUUCCCUGCUUCUGAAAUCUUCCACUUGAUCUUGAUUAAAUCCUGACAUAAAAUAACACUGCAUUACCAUGUUGGCCUAGAUUCUAGAAGAUAAACCAAACGUUAUACGUCAUAAAUCAGUGAAUGAAUAUGUGGACAUUAGCACGUUGCUUUGUACGACCAAGUUUCAUUGCUACAAGUAAAGCAGGAAGCCAGCAAGUUAACAGAGAAUCCGUAAAGGAAGCUGCAUUCUCUACAUGAGGGGAAUCUGCCAGAGUCACAGGCCCUGAAAUAAAAAAACAGAAGAUGUAAAUGAUGUCCCCUGCAGGGGAAUUCCCUUUUCAGAGGAAAGAACUUCAUAUCUGAAGAAAAGACCUGAAAAAGGGGCAACAGAAGUAUAUUGUUCAAUUGCUUGAAAUGCUUCAUGUACUUUGAAAUUAAUAUAAAUUUCAGUUUGUUUUUCUAACAACCCAAAAUAUUUCAAUAAAAGUAAAAUAAAAACUAGAUUUGGUGUUGUUUUAAAUGUUUCAGUAAAAGUUGUAGUAAAGUAAAAUAAAAAUUAUUCAUAAGACAGACUUUUUAAAUGUUGGUAAGGAAAGCAAUGCUUUAUGAACUUUGAAAACGAAUCCAAAUUUCAGUGAUACGUUUUUUUUCCUAACAACCCUAAAUAUUUCAAUAAAAGUUAAAUAAAAACUAGAUUUGGUGUUGUUGGGAAUGACACACUGUAUUCGCCGGACAGCCCUGUUAUUUGGUCCGGCUAUCAAAAGCCGUACUUGUCCCACACUCAUGGACUUGUACAAUUUUUAGGAGCACUGGAUGGA